AUGGCUGGCCCACCGGCGAGCCCCUCCGGUGACGGCGGCAUCCCCACGGCCGGCGGCAUCAGGGAGGAGCGGGACGUGUUCGUGCCCGUCGCGGAUAUCACCCGCAUCAUGGGGAAGUUAAACCUGACUUCUCGUUCGAAACCGCUCUCUGCUAUCGACUUCUCCCACGAUCUCACCUCGCUCGCUUCUCGUACCAAGGGUUUGGGGUUUGGGUUCGCUGGGUCGCCCCUGAUUGAUCUGGUCCUUCGGUCGGUGCGGCGGGGGCGCAUGGCCGGCCCACCGGCGAGCCCCUCCGGCGACGGCGGCAUCCCCACGGCCGGCGGCAUCGGGGAGGAGCGGGACGUGUUCGUGCCCGUCGCGGAUAUCAGCCGCAUCAUGGGGAAGGUCAUCCUGCCAGACGGGAGGAUCGAUGAGGGGGCCGUGCGGGAGCUGGCCUCCGAGUUCAUCACCCGCCGGGCGAGCGGCGAGAGCGACGGAUGCAAGAGGGCGAAGCGGGAGGCCAUGACCGUCGACGACCUGCUGUCCGAGAUGGCGAAGCAGGGGUUUCAGGACCACAUCGAACCCCUCAAGGCCUGCCUGCACAAGUACAGAGUGGCGCGUAUACUGGUUUGA
RNAcentral lists this ribosomal RNA (612 nucleotides) under Triticum aestivum (bread wheat). RNAcentral's name for it is "partial small subunit ribosomal RNA". The record is from RNAcentral. Lineage: Eukaryota; Viridiplantae; Streptophyta; Magnoliopsida; Poales; Poaceae.